Molecule: long non-coding RNA, 237 nt
Filed under: Carica papaya (papaya)
Lineage: Eukaryota; Viridiplantae; Streptophyta; Magnoliopsida; Brassicales; Caricaceae
Description: long non-coding RNA (CPAP_LNC014656)
Source: RNAcentral
UUGGUAGAUCGACUGGUAGCACAUGGGUGAUAAGAUAGUUUACGAUGUCCACAUACCAUGGGGCUGCUUGCUGAAUCAAAAACUCAUCACCCAACAGGGAAGGCUCCCCAUUAAUUGGCAAUCAGCUAAGGUGGUCUGCUACCAAAUUCUCUAUUUCCUUUUCAUCUUUUAUUUUGAGAUUGAAUUCUUGCAGAAGAAGUAUCCAUCAUAUAACCUCACUUUUGCCUCUUUUUUCUU